Molecule: long non-coding RNA, 1296 nt
Organism: Pseudophryne corroboree (corroboree frog)
Lineage: Eukaryota; Metazoa; Chordata; Amphibia; Anura; Myobatrachidae
Exons: 2
Source: RefSeq, a predicted model, not a curated record
GUAUGUCUGACAUUGUGCAUUAUGCUAUAAUGCAGGUGUAUGUCAUCAUACAACUGACACACCGCAGCUCCCAGCAGCCCCAGCAACUGCUCAAGAGCUCAGGAGCAGGACACAUGACCAGUCAGGUGGUGAGACCAGUGACAGUUGGGAGAAAGUGUUGGUUGGUGAGAGCUGAGCUGAGGUAAUCUUGAGAGGAGAGCUAUGCCAUCAAGUGUGUGCUGAGGUGGCGUGGGGGUGACGGAGGAGAUGGAGGCAGACCUUCCUACCACAAGGGUGGUCAGAGAUGGCUUUACCCCCAUGCAAGGCAAGUCUGGGGGUGCAGAUGUAAUAAGAGUGACCGCAGCAGCUUCCAUAGCGGCAGUGGGUGGAGUUUUAUCUGGAGCCCUGGCAGUUAGUAAUGCCUCAAAGUGGACCAGGCCUCCCCAAUUAAGGCAAGAGGUGGGCAGCAGUAACAAAGGAAUAGUCCGUGGGAGCAGAUUGUCCGGAAAGAUACCCAGUAUCCCACACUGACAGCUACGGACAGCAUGGAGACCUAACACAGACACUUGGAGAGAAAGUUAGUGAAGGAAAGCUGCACAUGAGGUAAAGAGAGAGACAAGGAGUACCGUAAAAGGAUAUUCUACAUUAAUUAUUACCCUUGAGGAAUUUAGACAGCAUACCCCACAGAGUAACCAACGCCUGAGUACUGUAAACCCUCACAUCCUCAGGGAACUAUAAAGAAAAGGCAGCAACAGACUAGUUGGAAUUAAUGUACUAAUUUGCAAUCUUGCUAGGAAACGUCACUUGAGAGAGGAGUAGCUGCAACCUAGAGAAAGUCUCUAUUUUGUGCUGGUCACGAGUAGCAACUAUUGAAAUGGGAAAUUUGCUCGGAAACAUUUGCCUAAUUCCAUUAAUCCCUAUUGGAGACAGGACACCUAAAGUAACCUAACAUGCACCAUCUAUAAAAUACUCAGCUGAACUUUGUGAUUUAAAGUUAUUGGGGAUAUUGAUAGUACCGAGUAGUGUAAGAGUGACUAAAGGUAUUGCGCUAUUGUUUGCAUGUGUAGUAGUAAUGGUUAACAGCUUGUUUUAGACAAGCUCUAUUAACAAUUAGUAUUGUAUUUAUAUAGUAUUGUUGUCGAAUUCUGUUCUCUGCAAAUUGAAGUAUUCACAGUGCAAAAGAAUAUUUGUGUAAUUGCUGGUGCACUUGUCUGGAGGUAUUACAGUUGAACCAUUUGGAUCCAGGUACUUGCAGAGAAAACAACUCCGGGGGCUACCAGUUCCAAUUAAAUAAAUGUAUUAUUUUCUUUUGUGAAA